This is an RNA transcript of Populus nigra (black poplar), 2742 nucleotides long. RefSeq lists it as uncharacterized. Lineage: Eukaryota; Viridiplantae; Streptophyta; Magnoliopsida; Malpighiales; Salicaceae. The record is from RefSeq and is a predicted model, not a curated record. The transcript is spliced from 6 exons.
UUGAGAUAUUUUCUUCUCUCUCCAUCCACGUACACAAAAUGCAGCCUUUUACAUACAUAAACAUAAACAGGCGCGAUCCUUUUAUUCACCUCCUCCUAAGAAUAAUUAGAUCCCCCUCUCCACCCCCCUCUCCCUCUCUGUUAUUCUCCAUCUCCAUGUUCUCUCGUCUUCUUGAUCAAGUUGCUUUCUUACCUCGACGGGCUUAAACUUCCGAGUGUAGUAGUUAGUUUCAAGGUUAUCGAGUGGCUUUGAUUUCUAUCGGAGACGUGGAUUGGUUUUGGUACUUGUAACUACUUUCUGGCAGUAACACUACACAGUUCUCUGAAAAGUAUGAGAGCCAUCUUACUCAAGGGCCAUUGCUUAUGCAACGGUAAAGUUAUUGGCUUGGGUUGCAGAGAAUGCUGUUUUGAAUUUUGUACAAAGUAACUUUAUGGAAAAUGUGAAUGGGUAAGGUCACCUCCAGAUUAAAACUAACUUAGCCCAUAAAAGGUUAGAUUUUGUUGCUGCUUGUUGACACACUCAAACUUAUGAAUGAAUGCCUAAAUUGAAGUUAAUUGAGGCCCAAAGUCACUUAGACCCAAGUUAACAAACUAAAAGAAAUCCGUCUCCAUCAUGUUUUGCCAAGUGCCUCACAUGAGGGAUCUCUAAGUUGCAGGUAUUAAAAUUCUGAAGAAGUAAUUCCAUUUUUAUUUUUCAUGGUUGUGUUAUUAUGUCUGCGAAGUAAGACCAAGUUAAAAUCAUAAAAUCUUUAACAGCAUGGAGGCUCAAAGAGAAAUUUUGGUCACACACACACACACAUGAAUCUUAAAAAAGUUAUCUUUUUAAUCUUUACAGCACAUCUUUUUAUUAUGAGUGGUGGUACAAAUAUAUUGAUUACUGCAAAGGCAACUCAGUGGAUGCUGGAAACACAGAUAAGUGGAAGUUUUUUUUUAUUAAUGUCUUUAGUUUUAAUCUGAAAAUCGAUAUCAAAACAAUACAAGUUCCAUGAAAAUUGUCUCACUAUCCAUUCCCAUCUCCUUUGUUUAAUGUAGUGUAGACACAUGUGAGUAAAACAUAGGUUUGGUAAAGCAUGAAUAUUGGAAGAUGCAUCAGCAUGCACGCUUGCUGACAGUGGUUGUACUUGCCAGUCUUCUGAUUUUUCCACUAAUGAACAUCUAAAUGUCCUUUACAGUUGUGUUGCUCUGGUUCUAAUCACUUGCUUCUGUCACUAUCAAUUCCCAAUUGUUUGUUUUCUCAUGUUUUGAAGUUUGAUGGUAUACUUCAACUUUGGAAUUUCACUUUUGAAAUGGAGAAUUUACUGUUGGCUUCCCAUUAUAUAUUGAUGAGCCAUUUCUGAGAGGCAAUUUUUAGUCUGUGUUAAGAAUUACCUGAGACUUGGAAAUGGCAAGUUACACUGCUUAGAAGCUGCUGUACAUGAAAAUUAUCCAUUUGUUAUUUUAGGACAAAGUUUAACUAAAAUCUUAUAUGAAAAAAAAAGCAGUUAAAACUAAUGUUGCCUUGGGUAACAGCACAACAAUGGCGCUGGAAAAUCUUUGAACAAUGCCAAAGGUAUUGGAUAUUAUCCACUGCUUUUACCGAGGAGUCCUGUCUGCUUAGAGCUCGUCAGCCGAGUUCUAUGCUAGACCUGGCAAAGGGAAAUGAGGAUGUGGCUGGCUCAAUUGGAGCUGGAUUGGGGCAUGCGAGUCAUAUCCAUUUCCUACUGUGCAAGGGGCCUGGGAAGCCCUGUUUGCUUCAUCCACAUUCUGUCUUCCAUAAACCUGGGAUAAGAGUGCGGUUAUGAGUGUUCAGUUUCUAAAAUCCUGAAGUUUAGGUUUCACUUUACUUAAGGCUUGCUGCUCUUGAUAUGGUUCCUAUGCACAAGACAUUAAAUUGUAUUCGAUGUUGAAGAGCUAACUGGUUGUAGGAUUGGGAGUGCAUUCUACGAAGACCGACCAGGUGUAUAUAUUCUGUUAAGGUUCCUUAUUUGGUGGUAAAAGAUUAAGUUCGGAGCUGAAGGGGAGGUGGAAAAUAUUUCUUAGUGAUACAUGUGCUGCCAAGACUUGUACCUCACGCAGUUCUGAAUUUUCUUGACUGACGAGUUUAACCUUCUUGUGCAGCUCAAGGUUUUCUUGAUAAAUUAGAUUACCCUGCAAUGAAGCCAAUGAAAGCCAGUGAACAUGAGAAUGUCUUUACAAUUAAUUCGGGAAUUAUUGAAGUCAAUAGUCUUGGAAAACCUUUCUGUUCAGGUCUUUAAUUUCAUCAGUUAAAAUUUGGUCCUGUGUAAAAAGAAAAAGGCUGCAUCAGCAUUAUGUGCAUGCUGCAUAUGCAUAUAAAAAGUGAUCUUGAGAUCAGGAGGGCUUUACCUUUUUCAUUCGAACUCCUUUCAAACUCAUCUCCAGCUGGUUUUCUAGAUUCUGUAGAUCCUUGGUGCUCAAACCGGACAGUUCUUCUCCCAUCAAUUGCCUGCAAUGUCACAGAGGCAAGUGUUAGGUGUGGUGCCAGAGUCUUAUACUUGUCCAUGAAUAUGGUGCCAUAAAAAAAACCCCGUCCAUAAAUACUUAAAAAGUCUGGUAGCUUUUCUUUUCAGGCGGAUGUGGCUGCAACUGUGAUCAAUGAUAUGAAACAUUUAGAGAUAUUUUUGCCAGUAAGGUUACACGGCUGUAAAUUUUUUGAUCAGACAAACCUGCACAUCAUCAUUUCAAUUCCAGUGGUGAUGUGUUGUUGAGAUAAUCGAUUGAGAAUAUUGGGUGAUUAUUAACUUUA